Molecule: non-coding RNA, 73 nt
Organism: Trichonephila inaurata madagascariensis
Lineage: Eukaryota; Metazoa; Arthropoda; Arachnida; Araneae; Nephilidae
Source: the annotation of a GenBank genome assembly
GUCUCUAUAGCGCAAUGGAUAGCGUGUUGGACUUCUAAUCCAAAUGUCGUGGGUUGGAAUCCUACCUGGGAUG